GACGAACGCUGGCGGCGUGCUUAACACAUGCAAGUCGAACGGAAAGGCCCUGCUUUUGUGGGGUGCUCGAGUGGCGAACGGGUGAGUAACACGUGAGUAACCUGCCCUUGACUUUGGGAUAACUUCAGGAAACUGGGGCUAAUACCGGAUAGGAGCUCCUGCUGCAUGGUGGGGGUUGGAAAGUUUCGGCGGUUGGGGAUGGACUCGCGGCUUAUCAGCUUGUUGGUGGGGUAGUGGCUUACCAAUGCUUUGACGGGUAGCCGGCCUGAGAGGGUGACCGGCCACAUUGGGACUGAGAUACGGCCCAGACUCCUACGGGAGGCAGCAGUGGGGAAUAUUGCACAAUGGGCGGAAGCCUGAUGCAGCAACGCCGCGUGCGGGAUGACGGCCUUCGGGUUGUAAACCGCUUUCGCCUGUGACGAAGCGUGAGUGACGGUAAUGGGUAAAGAAGCACCGGCUAACUACGUG
RNAcentral lists this ribosomal RNA (468 nucleotides) under uncultured bacterium. RNAcentral describes it as "partial 16S ribosomal RNA". It matches the Rfam family "Bacterial small subunit ribosomal RNA", at positions 28 to 507 of the family's 1533-position model. The record is from RNAcentral.